Rhipicephalus microplus (southern cattle tick) is the source of this 376-nucleotide long non-coding RNA. The record is from RefSeq and is a predicted model, not a curated record. NCBI's taxonomy places the organism in Eukaryota, Metazoa, Arthropoda, Arachnida, Ixodida, Ixodidae.
GACUUGCUGAAGUGGAAUGGCUGGGGAUACAAAGACUCCAAGUUUGUGGUUGAUGGCACCACACAUCAUAUUUCGUUCACAGGUGACAGGUACAAGAUUGGGAACAAGGUGCUGCCUCACUUCAAGGCCUGGGUCGAGUCGGCGUUGGGCGUCGACCUUAGUGUCCUCAUGCCGGCUCAGCCCCCGCCUUCAGACCAGGAACUUCCGCCCCCCAUAAUCAACGAGGCAUUCCUGGAGGACGUUCGUCGUGCCGGCAUUUCCUACUCGGCCGAUGGCCAGGACAGGCUUUUCAGGGCACAUGGUCACACCAUGCGUGAGAUCUUCAUCCUGCGGGAAGGUUCGUUCGCUCGCAUUCCCGACUUGGUCGUCUGGCCGC